This 514-nucleotide ribosomal RNA is filed under the name uncultured bacterium. RNAcentral describes it as "bacterial SSU rRNA". It matches the Rfam family "Bacterial small subunit ribosomal RNA", at positions 9 to 524 of the family's 1533-position model. The record is from RNAcentral.
GAGUUUGAUCUUGGCUCAGGAUGAACGCUGGCGGCGUGCUUAACACAUGCAAGUCGAGCGAAGCGCUUAAACGGAUUUCUUCGGAUUGAAGUUUUAGUGACUGAGCGGCGGACGGGUGAGUAACGCGUGGGCAACCUGCCCCAUACCGGGGGAUAACAGCUGGAAACGGCUGCUAAUACCGCAUAAGCGCACAGUGCCGCAUGGCACGGUGUGAAAAACUCCGGUGGUAUGGGAUGGGCCCGCGUUGGAUUAGCCAGUUGGCAGGGUAACGGCCUACCAAAGCGACGAUCCAUAGCCGGCCUGAGAGGGCGACCGGCCACAUUGGGACUGAGACACGGCCCAAACUCCUACGGGAGGCAGCAGUGGGGAAUAUUGCACAAUGGGGGAAACCCUGAUGCAGCGACGCCGCGUGAGCGAAGAAGUAUUUCGGUAUGUAAAGCUCUAUCAGCAGGGAAGAAAUGACGGUACCUGACUAAGAAGCCCCGGCUAACUACGUGCCAGCCGCCGCAGUAAC